CCUACGGGGGGCAGCAGUGGGGAAUAUUGGGCAAUGGACGCAAGUCUGACCCAGCAACGCCGCGUGAAGGAAGAAGGCUUUCGGGUUGUAAACUUCUUUUAAGGGGGAAGAGCAGAAGACGGUACCCCUUGAAUAAGCCACGGCUAACUACGUGCCAGCAGCCGCGGUAAUACGUAGGUGGCAAGCGUUGUCCGGAUUUACUGGGUGUAAAGGGCGUGCAGCCGGAGAGACAAGUCAGAUGUGAAAUCCACGGGCUCAACCCGUGAACUGCAUUUGAAACUGUUUCCCUUGAGUGUCGGAGAGGUAAUCGGAAUUCCUUGUGUAGCGGUGAAAUGCGUAGAUAUAAGGAAGAACACCAGUGGCGAAGGCGGAUUACUGGACGAUAACUGACGGUGAGGCGCGAAAGCGUGGGGAGCAAACAGGAUUAGAUACCCGAGU
This 438-nucleotide ribosomal RNA is filed under the name uncultured bacterium. RNAcentral describes it as "bacterial SSU rRNA". It matches the Rfam family "Bacterial small subunit ribosomal RNA", at positions 338 to 791 of the family's 1533-position model. The record is from RNAcentral.